This 87-nucleotide transfer RNA is filed under the name Roseospira marina. RNAcentral's name for it is "tRNA-Leu". It matches the Rfam family "tRNA". Rfam says of the family: Transfer RNA (tRNA) molecules are approximately 80 nucleotides in length. Their secondary structure includes four short double-helical elements and three loops (D, anti-codon, and T loops). Lineage: Bacteria; Pseudomonadati; Pseudomonadota; Alphaproteobacteria; Rhodospirillales; Rhodospirillaceae. RNAcentral also lists the same sequence under 1 other name. The record is from RNAcentral.
GCCCGGGUGGCGGAAUUGGUAGACGCACCGGACUCAAAAUCCGGCGGUGGCAACACCAUGCGAGUUCGAGUCUCGCCCCGGGCACCA